Drosophila sulfurigaster albostrigata is the source of this 1388-nucleotide long non-coding RNA. RefSeq lists it as uncharacterized. The record is from RefSeq and is a predicted model, not a curated record. The transcript is spliced from 2 exons. NCBI's taxonomy places the organism in Eukaryota, Metazoa, Arthropoda, Insecta, Diptera, Drosophilidae.
AGCUUACAAAAAAUACAUUUGUUUACUUUGGCAUAUUUUUAAAUUUGCAAAGUAUCUUUAUAGUUUCGUUUGCUGUUAUGAUUGUAAGUUCUCAAUUUCUCAGAAUUUUCUAACAGCUGUUUUUCCGCUCAGACAAAUCUAGCACAGCUUUCCCUCUAUAGCCGAAGAAUACUUGCGAGUACUGAAACAUGUUCAGUUAACUUGGCCAGAAUGAACAUCAGUCAGUCGAAGACUGUUUGUUAACUGUUUUUCGCUGGCAACUGUUCUACAGAAGUGUCAAGCGUUUCCACAUAAAAACCUACAACACAAACAUUUCUGACGACGACGCCCAGAUAUCCACACAAGCUUCAUUCAUAAAGAUUCAGAUACGGAUUGAGAUUGAGAUUCACAUCUCGGUGCCAAGAACAAAUACAAGACUUUGUCGACAACACCUAACAAGUUCCUGGAAGUGGACAAGCUUUAGAAUGUGGAAAGGAAACCUGUUCGGUGUGGCACAUGGAAACAAGAGCAAAAUGAAAAACGGCGACAUAAUUAAUGAUUUCAAAUUUUCACAAAACCCAAAAAAAAAAACAAACUUAUCGAUCGAAGUUGAGCAGCAGCAGCAAACAUAAACAACUGUCACUUGGUCAUUGAAGGCAUUUUCAUGACUUGUUACUUAAGUUGUGUGAGCGCAAAAGCUGAAGAUAUAAAUUACAUGCAAGCUGUGCACUGACAGCCAACAACAAGAACAACUCUUGAGCUAGAACUCAAGCUGUUGGACAUUAAUAAAGCUUAAAGCGAACUUAAUUAAAACUUACGCUGGAAAAUGUUGCGACGUGCGACGUGCGGCGACAGAAAAACACUUUAUGGAAGAAAGCACAACGGAAAAUUUUGGACAAAACUCGCGAAUAUAUUUUUAUUUUUUCGCACGCUUCGCGAUUUAUUGAUGCUGGCAGUAAUGUAUCUGUGAGAUACGCGCUUGAGGCCGAAUCCAUUCAUAAACGCGCUAGCAUUUCAUUAAUUCUUUUUGCUAUGCUUCUCUAUUGGCACUUCUUUUAUUUUAUUUAUUUUUUUUGCACACACACGACGCUAAACGAGUUACCUGCCCAGCUGCUAGAUCACUUGAUACGCGAGAGAGCGGGUGGCGGGGGAAGAGGUGGGGUAACCGGAAAUUUGCACGCGCGCGAAAAUCAAAUUUGAUUUAAUUUUUUUUAUUUUUUUUGGGUAACAAAAAACACUUGCGAUUUCGGCAGAUUUUUGCUUGAGUUUUAGGGUUUUAGUUUCGGUUUCGAUUGAUGCUUGGUUGCUUGGUCGAAGAGGGGCGGGGAUAACUGAACUGUUGUUGUUGUAUCUCAGAUGUUGUGUGUGUCGCUUGUCCAUAAAAACGUCCAGACACGUUCACGUACUCG